Molecule: non-coding RNA, 378 nt
Organism: Pygocentrus nattereri (red-bellied piranha)
Lineage: Eukaryota; Metazoa; Chordata; Actinopteri; Characiformes; Serrasalmidae
Source: the annotation of a RefSeq genome assembly
GCAACCAUGACUUUGGUCUCCAUCUUCAUCUGGACACUCACCCUCUGGACUCAAGGAUCCAGUGGUCAGGUCACAGUGACUCAGACGCCUGCAGUGAAAACUGUUUCUCCAGGAGACUCAGUUACCAUCAGCUGUAAGUUCAGCAGCAAUGUUUAUCCCUACUGUGGUGGGUCAAAUGACUGUUUAGCCUGGUAUCAGCAGAAUCCUGGAGAAGCUCCUAAACUCCUGAUCUACUACGCUACCAGUAGACAGUCAGGUGUUCCAGCUCGUUUCAGUGGCAGUGGAUCCGGAUCUGACUUUACUCUGACCAUCAGUAAUGUCCAGACUGAAGAUUCAGGAGAUUAUUACUGUCAGAGUUAUCACAGUGGCUACGUGUUC